AUACGGAGGAUGCGAGCGUUAUCCGGAUUUAUUGGGUUUAAAGGGUGCGUAGGCGGUCGGGUAAGCGUAGGGUGAAAGUCCUCUGCUCAACAGAGGAAGUGCCUUCCGAACUGUCCGACUGGAAUGCUCCUGCCGUGGGAGGAAUGUGUGGUGUAGCGGUGAAAUGCAUAGAGAUCACACAGAACACCGAUUGCGAAGGCAUCUCACGAAGGGGCUAUUGACGCUGAGGCACGAAAGCGUGGGGAUCAAACAGGAUUAGAUACCCUGGUAGUCCACGCAGUAAACGAUGAUGACUAACCGUCGGUCAAGACUGAUCGGUGGCCAAGCGAAAGCGAUAAGUCAUCCACCUGGGGAGUACGACCGCAAGGUUGAAACUCAAAGGAAUCGACGGGG
Molecule: ribosomal RNA, 393 nt
Filed under: uncultured bacterium
Lineage: Bacteria
Description: partial 16S ribosomal RNA
Rfam family: Bacterial small subunit ribosomal RNA
Source: RNAcentral